UACGUAGGGUGCGAGCGUUAAUCGGAAUUACUGGGCGUAAAGCGUGCGCAGGCGGUUUUGUAAGUCUGUCGUGAAAUCCCCGGGCUUAACCUGGGAAUGGCAUUUGGGACUGCAAGGCUGGAGUUUGGCAGAGGAGACUGGAAUUCCUGGUGUAGCAGUGAAAUGCGUAGAUAUUCGCAAGACACCAGUGGCGAAGGCGGCUCACUGGCCCGAUACUGACGCUGAGGUGCGAAAGCGUGGGGAGCAAACAGG
RNAcentral lists this ribosomal RNA (252 nucleotides) under uncultured bacterium. RNAcentral's name for it is "partial 16S ribosomal RNA". It matches the Rfam family "Bacterial small subunit ribosomal RNA", at positions 524 to 776 of the family's 1533-position model. The record is from RNAcentral.